This 465-nucleotide ribosomal RNA is filed under the name Vreelandella stevensii. Its description in RNAcentral is "partial 16S ribosomal RNA". It matches the Rfam family "Bacterial small subunit ribosomal RNA", at positions 338 to 795 of the family's 1533-position model. The record is from RNAcentral. Lineage: Bacteria; Pseudomonadati; Pseudomonadota; Gammaproteobacteria; Oceanospirillales; Halomonadaceae.
CCUACGGGAGGCUGCAGUGGGGAAUAUUGGACAAUGGGGGGAACCCUGAUCCAGCCAUGCCGCGUGUGUGAAGAAGGCCCUCGGGUUGUAAAGCACUUUCAGUGAGGAAGAACGCCUGGUGGUUAAUACCCAUCAGGAAAGACAUCACUCACAGAAGAAGCACCGGCUAACUCCGUGCCAGCAGCCGCGGUAAUACGGAGGGUGCGAGCGUUAAUCGGAAUUACUGGGCGUAAAGCGCGCGUAGGUGGCUUGAUAAGCCGGUUGUGAAAGCCCCGGGCUCAACCUGGGAAUGGCAUCCGGAACUGUCAAGCUAGAGUGCAGGAGAGGAAGGUAGAAAUCCCGGUGUAGCGGUGAAAUGCGUAGAGAUCGGGAGGAAUACCAGUGGCGAAGGCGGCCUUCUGGACUGACACUGACACUGAGGUGCGAAAGCGUGGGUAGCAAACAGGAUUAGAUACCCUAGUAGUC